AUUAGUUUUUUAAUUGAAGGCUAGAAUGAAUGGUUGGACAAGAAAUAAUCUGUCUUAAUUAAAUAAAUUGAAUUUAACUUUUAAGUGAAAAGGCUUAAAUAAUCUAAAGGGACGAUAAGACCCUAUAAAACUUUAUAUUUAAUGAUAGUAAUUAAUUUUAUUUUAAGAGUAUUAUUUGAAAGUAUUUGGUUGGGGUGACAAGGAUAAAAUAUAAAAUAACUGUCUUUUUUUAUUACAAUAAUAUUUGGUUUAAUGAUCCUAAAAUGGAUUAAAGAUUAAGUUACUUUAGGGAUAACAGCGUAAUUUUCUUUAAGAGUUCUUAUCGACAAGAAAGUUUGCGACCUCGAUGUUGAAUUAAAAGUUCUUUAU
RNAcentral lists this ribosomal RNA (369 nucleotides) under Faxonella clypeata. Its description in RNAcentral is "partial 16S ribosomal RNA". The record is from RNAcentral. Lineage: Eukaryota; Metazoa; Arthropoda; Malacostraca; Decapoda; Cambaridae.